UCAGUUUGUGUACAGUUUGCAAUUAUUUGGCUGUUUUAAUGAGAAGAAAGACCUUCAGCCCGUGAUGUCAGAGAUAAGGAAGUGUGGAAAGUAGCAGAUGUGUGACCUUGCUGCUCUCCUGUUGCUUUCUCCUUUGUUCUGUGUGUUGCAGCUCUUCAAGGUUUUAAAGCCAACAAGGGGUGAGGGGAAAGCUAAUGCAGGUUUUGUGGUAACUCCGGCUCCUGGCUUGUGAAGCAACCUGCUGGCCUUUAAUACAAGCCACUAGUGCCAACUGAGAGCUAGCAGCUGCUCAGAAGCUGGGAUCCUACAGGCUGCAGCAAUUUCCAGAGUCUGGAUUUUUGUUCACUUUGCUAAGCUAGGAUAAAAGCGAGGAGCUAACAUCUCCCAGUUUGCUCGUGCCAUACAAGUACCCUAUCUCAGCAGACCAUCCAGAAGCUGCUGUUGGAUUACAAACUCCCUCUUAUCCUUCUAAUGUGGAUGAGACCUCAAAA
This is a non-coding RNA of Meleagris gallopavo (turkey), 491 nucleotides long. The record is from RefSeq and is a predicted model, not a curated record. Lineage: Eukaryota; Metazoa; Chordata; Aves; Galliformes; Phasianidae.